GAUGAACGCUGGCGGCGUGCCUAAUACAUGCAAGUCGAGCGAACGGACGAGAAGCUUGCUUCUCUGAUGUUAGCGGCGGACGGGUGAGUAACACGUGGAUAACCUACCUAUAAGACUGGGAUAACUUCGGGAAACCGGAGCUAAUACCGGAUAAUAUUUUGAGCCGCAUGGUUCAAAAGUGAAAGACGGUCUUGCUGUCACUUAUAGAUGGAUCCGCGCUGCAUUAGCUAGUUGGUAAGGUAACGGCUUACCAAGGCAACGAUGCAUAGCCGACCUGAGAGGGUGAUCGGCCACACUGGAACUGAGACACGGUCCAGACUCCUACGGGAGGCAGCAGUAGGGAAUCUUCCGCAAUGGGCGAAAGCCUGACGGAGCAACGCCGCGUGAGUGAUGAAGGUCUUCGGAUCGUAAAACUCUGUUAUUAGGGAAGAACAUAUGUGUAAGUAACUGCGCACAUCUUGACGGUACCUAAUCAGAAAGCCACGGCUAACUACGUG
This 497-nucleotide ribosomal RNA is filed under the name uncultured bacterium. RNAcentral's name for it is "partial 16S ribosomal RNA". It matches the Rfam family "Bacterial small subunit ribosomal RNA", at positions 28 to 507 of the family's 1533-position model. The record is from RNAcentral.